UGGGGAAUCUUGGACAAUGGGGGCAACCCUGAUCCAGCGAUGCCGCGUGGGUGAAGAAGGCCUUCGGGUUGUAAAGCCCUUUAGGCUGGGAAGAAGGGUGUGGGGUGAAUAUCCCUGCACUUUGACGGUACCAGCAGAAUAAGCACCGGCAAACUCUGUGCCAGCAGCCGCGGUAAUACAGAGGGUGCGAGCGUUAAUCGGAUUUACUGGGCGUAAAGGGCGCGUAGGCGGUUAAGUGAGUGUGAUGUGAAAGCCCCGGGCUCAACCUGGGAAGUGCAUCGCAAACGACUUAACUGGAGUAUAUGAGAGGGUGGCGGAAUUUCCGGUGUAGCGGUGAAAUGCGUAGAGAUCGGAAGGAACGUCGAUGGCGAAGGCAGCCACCUGGCAUAAUACUGACGCUGAGGCGCGAAAGCGUGGGGAGCGAACAG
Molecule: ribosomal RNA, 428 nt
Filed under: uncultured bacterium
Lineage: Bacteria
Description: bacterial SSU rRNA
Rfam family: Bacterial small subunit ribosomal RNA
Source: RNAcentral